GGGGAUAUAGCUCAGUUGGUAGAGUGCUUGCUUAGCAUGCACAAGACCCUGGGUUCAAACCCCAGCACCACCG
RNAcentral lists this transfer RNA (73 nucleotides) under Ictidomys tridecemlineatus (thirteen-lined ground squirrel). Its description in RNAcentral is "Spermophilus tridecemlineatus (thirteen-lined ground squirrel) tRNA". It matches the Rfam family "tRNA". From Rfam's summary of the family: Transfer RNA (tRNA) molecules are approximately 80 nucleotides in length. Their secondary structure includes four short double-helical elements and three loops (D, anti-codon, and T loops). Lineage: Eukaryota; Metazoa; Chordata; Mammalia; Rodentia; Sciuridae. The record is from Rfam by way of RNAcentral.